GGUUUCUCUUGGGGAUUAAUGGAAAACCAAGCGGAAGAACCCAAAUGGAGUGAAUAUCUCAAUAACCCUUUGCUAAUGGUGGCUGCUUUGCAAAAUCAAACGCCACAAUCUUUGUACAACAUGGAGAUAAAAUCAGAACCAUAUUUCUUGAAUUCAUCUAGUUCAUCAUCAAC
This is a long non-coding RNA of Hibiscus syriacus, 173 nucleotides long. RefSeq lists it as uncharacterized. The record is from RefSeq and is a predicted model, not a curated record. Lineage: Eukaryota; Viridiplantae; Streptophyta; Magnoliopsida; Malvales; Malvaceae. The transcript has 3 exons.